CUGGCUGCUCCAUGCAGACUGGAAGCUCUGGCUGCUCCAUGCAGACUGGCAGCUCUGGCUUCUCCAUGCAGACUAGCAGCUCUGGCUGCGCUGAACAGGCAGGAGACUCCGGCAGCGCUGGAGAGAAGGAAGGCUCUGGCAGCGCUAAACAGGCGGGAGACUCCGGCAGCACUGGAGAGGAGGAAGGCUCUGAUAGCGCUAGACAGGCGGGAGACUCUGACAGCGCUAAACAGGCGGGAGACUCCGACAGCGCUGGAGAGGAGAAAGGCUCUGGCAGCGCUGAACAGGCGAGGCGCACUGAAGGCCUGGUGCGUGGUGCUGGCACUGGGGUUACUGGGCCGAGGACAUGCACAGGAAGCCUGGUGCGAGGAGCUGCCACCGGAGGACUGGUGUGUGAAGGUGGCACAGGAUGGACCAGACCAUGAAGGUGUACUGGAGAGCCUGAGAGCAGGACUGGCACAGGACGUGCAAGGCUAGGUAGGUACACAGGAGGCCUAGUGCGUGAGGCUGGCACACUCUUCACCAGCCGACUAACACACACACCUCAGGACGAGUAUGGAGCGCUGACCCAGGUGCCAUCAAAUCCCCGACACGCUCCGUCGAGCGAAUAUCAUAUCUAAAGCACCAACCUAGCAACUCCCUCAUAACUCUCUCCUCCACUUUCCCCAUUAACUCCUUCACAGUCUCUGCUUCACUCACCUCCAACACGGCUCUGGUUCUGGUCUCCUCCUUGGCUCCUCACGAUAAACAGGGGGAGUUGGCUCAGGUUUGAACCCUGACACUGCCGCACUCUCCCUGAGCCCCCCCAAUACAUUUUUGGGGCUGACUCUCGGGCUUCCUUCUGCGCCGCCGUGCUUGUCUCUUCGACUCCAUUCUCCUAUAGCCCUCUUCGCACUGCUCCAGCGAAUCCCAGGCGGGCUCCGGCACUCUCUCUGGGUCGACCGCCCACCUGUCUAUUUCCUCCCAAGUCGUAUAUUCCAACCUUGGUUUCUCCUGCUGCCGCUGCCUGUCACCACGCUGCUUGGUCCUGGUGUGGUGGGUGAUUCUGUUACGGUUUUCUUCCGUCGAAAGAGAGUUCGGACCAAAAUGCAGCGUGGUUAAUAUGAUACAUCUUUAAUACGAUGAAAACGACCAAUACAAAAACAACAAACGGAACGUGAAAACCUAUACAGCCUAUCUGGUGACAACUAACACAAAGACAGGAACAAUCACCCACGAAACACUCAAAGAAUAUGGCUGCCUAAAUAUGGUUCCCAAUCAGAGACAACGAGAAUCACCUGCCUCUGAUUGAGAACCGCCUCAGGCAACCAUAGACUUUGCUUGAACACCCCACUAAGCCACAAUCCCAAAACCUACGAAAAACCCCCAUACAUAAACACAACACAAAAUAAACCCAUGUCACACCCUGGCCUGACCAAAUAAAUAUAGAAAACACAAAAUACUAAGACCAGGGCGUGACACAACCUGCCUAAAUGACUACAGACCUGUAGCACUCGUGUCCGUAGCAGUGCUUUGAAAUGCUGGGAAUGGCUCACAUCAACACCACUAUCCCAGAAACCCUAGAUCCACUCCAAUUUGCAUACCGCCCAAACAGAUCCACAGAUGAUGCAAUCUCUAUUGCACUCCACACUGCUCUUUCUCACCUGGACAAAAGGAACACCUACGUGAGAAUGAUAUUCAUUGACUACAGCUCAGCGUUCAACACCAUAGUACCUUCAAAGCUCAUCACUAAGCUAACGAUCCUGGGCCUAAACACAUCCCUCUGCAACUGGAUCUUGGACUUCCUGACAGGCCACCCCCAGGUGGUGAGGGUAAGGUAGCAACACAUCUGCCACGCUGAUCCUCAACACUGGAGCCCCUCAGGGGUGCGUGCUCAGUCCCCUCCUGUACUUCCUGUUCACCCACGACUGCGUGGCCAGGCAACACCAUCAUGAAAUUUGCAGGCGACACAACAGUGGUAGGCCUGAUCACCGACAAUGACGAGACAGCCUAUCGGGAGGAGACCUGGCCGGGUGGUGCCAGAAUAACAACCUAUCCCUCAGCGUAACCAAGACUAAAGAGAUGAUUGUGGACUACAGGAAAAGAAGGACCGAGCACGCCCCCAUUCUCAUCAACGGAGCUGUAGUGGAGCAGGUUGAGAGCUUCAUGUUUCUCGGCAUCCACAUCACCAACAAACUAACAUGGUCCAAACACACCAAGACAGUCAUGAAGAGGGCACGACAAAGCCUAUUCCCCCUUCAGGAAACUAAAAAGAUUUGGCAUGGGUCCUCAGAUCCUCAAAAGGAUCUACAGCUGCAACAUUGCAUCACUACCUGGUACGGCAACUGCUUGGCCUCCGACUGCAAGGCACUAGGCACACCAGUACAUCACUGGGGCAAAGCUGCCUGCCGUCCAGGACCUCUACACCAGGCGAUGUCAGAGGAAGGCCCCAAAAUAUUGUCAAAGACACCAGCCACCCUAGUGAUAGACUGUUCUUUCUACUUCUGCAUGGCAAGCGGUACCGGAGUGCCAAGUCUUGGACCAAAAAGGCUUCUCAACAUGUUUUACCCCCAUGCCAUAAGACUCCUGAACAGGUAAUCAUGUCUACCUGGACUAUUUGCAUUGUGUGCCCCCCCCCAACCCCUCUUUUAUGCUGCUGCUACUCUCUAUUUAUCAUAUAUAUGCAUAGUUAUGGUAUAGAGGAGGCUGGGUAGUUAUGGUAUAGAGGAGGCUGGGUGGUUAUAGUAUAGAGGAGGCGGGGUAGUUAUGGUAUAGAAGAGGCUGGGUGGUUAUAGUAUAGAGGAGGCUGGGUAGUUAUAGUAUAGAGGAGGCUGGGUAGUUAUAGAGGAUGCUGGGUAUUUAUAGUAUAGUGGAGGCUGGGUAGUUAUAGUAUAGAGGAGGCUGGGUAGUUAUAGUGUAGAGGAGGCUGGGUAGUUAUGGUGUAGAGGAGGCUGGGUAGUUAUAGUGUAGAGGAGGCUGGGUAGUUAUGGUGUAGAGGAGGCUGGGUAGUUAUGGUAUAGAGGAGGCUGGGUGGUUAUAGAAUAGAGGAGGCUGGGUAGUUAUAGUAUAGAAGAGGCUGGGUGGUUAUAGUAUAGAGGAGGCUGGGUAGUUAUAGUAUAGAGGAGGCUUGGUAGUUAUAGUAUAGAGGAGGCUGGGUAGUUAUAGUAUAGAGGAGGCUGGGUAGUUAUAGUAUAGAGGAGGCUGGGUAGUUAUAGUAUAGAGGAGGCUGGGUAGUUAUAGUAUAGAGGAGGCUGGGUAGUUAUGGUAUAGAGGAGGCUGGGUAGUUAUGGUAUAGAGGAGGCUGAGUGGUUGUAGUGUAGAGUACUCACAACAACCCAACCCUCUCAGUCAGCUCAUCUCCUGGUGUUACUACUGACACACUUACGCCUGGUUGUGUGCUCAUAACCUAGACAGGACCAACAGCUAUUGAAUAUUACAUUUAUUAGGUGUGUUGUUAUUGUUAUAUCACAUUUAUAGGUUGAUUAAAGAAGCUACCAUUAUCAGAUGUGGGCUUGUCAUUAUUUAUUGUUAUUGUUUACUAACACCUUUACAUUUUAUAGUAAUAUACAUUUUGAAAUUGGUAUUUAGAGCAUAGCUACAGUUAAUUGAUUUAAUUCGGUUAACUGGUGGUAAUUCAAGUUUUUGCAAAAUACAUUGUUCUAUAUUGUAGAUGAUUGCAGUGAUAUGUUAAUUACACAGUAUUGACAUCUUGGUAAAAUAUUCAUUCAUACAUUCCCUGCUUAUUGACCACUCUGAAUUUAUGUUUGGAAUGCGUCACCAUCCUUUGAUUUGAAAUAAAGUUGAAAUAUUUGUAUUGGUCCUUCCUUAAAAUAUAUAUAAUGGUAAAUUUAAUUAU
This is a long non-coding RNA of Oncorhynchus tshawytscha (Chinook salmon), 3835 nucleotides long. The record is from Ensembl. NCBI's taxonomy places the organism in Eukaryota, Metazoa, Chordata, Actinopteri, Salmoniformes, Salmonidae.